RNAcentral lists this ribosomal RNA (464 nucleotides) under Vreelandella stevensii. RNAcentral describes it as "partial 16S ribosomal RNA". It matches the Rfam family "Bacterial small subunit ribosomal RNA", at positions 338 to 795 of the family's 1533-position model. Lineage: Bacteria; Pseudomonadati; Pseudomonadota; Gammaproteobacteria; Oceanospirillales; Halomonadaceae. The record is from RNAcentral.
CCUACGGGAGGCUGCAGUGGGGAAUAUUGGACAAUGGGCGAAAGCCUGAUCCAGCCAUGCCGCGUGUGUGAAGAAGGCCUUCGGGUUGUAAAGCACUUUCAGUGGGGAAGAAAGCCUUGGGGCUAAUACCCUCGAGGAAGGACAUCACCCACAGAAGAAGCACCGGCUAACUCCGUGCCAGCAGCCGCGGUAAUACGGAGGGUGCGAGCGUUAAUCGGAAUUACUGGGCGUAAAGCGCGCGUAGGCGGUCUGAUAAGCCGGUUGUGAAAGCCCCGGGCUCAACCUGGGAACGGCAUCCGGAACUGUCAGGCUAGAGUGCAGGAGAGGAAGGUAGAAUUCCCGGUGUAGCGGUGAAAUGCGUAGAGAUCGGGAGGAAUACCAGUGGCGAAGGCGGCCUUCUGGACUGACACUGACGCUGAGGUGCGAAAGCGUGGGUAGCAAACAGGAUUAGAUACCGAGUAGUC